CGGAAUACAAGUCCAUUGGAAUGUGGCAUUUAAACUAGGCCAAGGAGGGUGAGAGCCCCGUAGUGAUUCCGAGCAAGUGCUGUCCGUGCCACAGUGGUCGCUUUGAUGAGUCGGGUUGCUUGGGAUUGCAGCCCUAAUUGGGUGGUAAAUUUCAUCUAAAGCUAAAUAUGGGUGGGAGACCGAUAGCGAACAAGUAGUGUGAACGAAAGCUGAAAAGAACUUUGAAAGGAGAGUCAAAAGUGCUUGAAAUUGCUAAGAGGGAAGUGAUAGAAU
RNAcentral lists this ribosomal RNA (273 nucleotides) under Protocruzia adhaerens. Its description in RNAcentral is "Protocruzia adherens partial Eukaryotic large subunit ribosomal RNA". It matches the Rfam family "Eukaryotic large subunit ribosomal RNA", at positions 175 to 428 of the family's 3401-position model. Lineage: Eukaryota; Ciliophora; Spirotrichea. The record is from RNAcentral.